Nicotiana tabacum (common tobacco) is the source of this 1113-nucleotide non-coding RNA. NCBI's taxonomy places the organism in Eukaryota, Viridiplantae, Streptophyta, Magnoliopsida, Solanales, Solanaceae. The record is from RefSeq and is a predicted model, not a curated record.
AUGUGCUCAUUUCUUAAUUUUCUCAUACCUGUCAGACAUCCUUUGAUUCUUUUGACAUUUUUGCCCCUUUAUCUCACAUUUACAAAAAGAACAAAGAAAGAAAAAGGAUAGCCAAAUAGCGCAGCUUAAUUAAUGUGAAUAAAUAUGGAUUUACAACAUGGCUCUAUCAAAAGCACCUUGGUAAAAACUAAAUUUUGGAGCUGAGAUUCCAAGAAAACAAGCUGCAAGGAAAUGGUUGCUUUUCUUUAAAUAAAGCACUAGAAUUCAUCAUUUUCUUCAACUUCUACAUUAAUUUUUCACAAGUAGUGAGAAGCUUUGAUAAGUUAAAGAAAAAGGGUAUUUAAGUAAGUCUACCAUGCCCUUUAGUACUUCUUUCUUUCUUUAGAGUUUUAUUAUACUAAUAAUUAAUGUCAAAUAAUUGAUACUAGUGCACAAGUGUUCACAUAUUAUUUUCAUUCAUUCAAAGAUUUAAAAGAAAGAAAGAAGAAGGAAGAAAGAAAGAAGUUCUAGGUCAUCUGGCCUUUGUUUUGUUGCCCCAUAUAAUAGAUAGACUCGGAAUUCAUUGAACACUGAUAACUCGUGUGACUUUCUCCACACAUCUCAGAGAAAGCAUUAAAAUGAUUAGAUUUCGAGAUGCAAUGACAGUAGUGAUGCGUGUAAUGUUAAGGAAAAGCAUGAGCAUAUACGAGGAAUUGGCUUAUGUGUUGGGGGACUUAGUUUGGAUUCUGAAUUCAAUGGUUCGAUUUUCAGGCAUGUUUGUUCUAAGGAGGUCUAGUUCUGUAUCUGCUCGCCACUAUUCACCUAUGCGUGUUCGGCCCGAUCGAUAAGGUUUGAAAGAGUCUCCUCUCUCUACUAUUAAGUAGAUCAUAGAAUCAAUUAAUUCCGAUAUCGUCGAGCCCGGUCCGGCCGCUUUGUCUAAAUAUGUAAUGUUGCUGCAAGUAAAUUGCCUCUCCCUUGUCAAUUUUCCUUGUGGAAGAUUCUUGAGCUAAGAAUAAUGAUCAUUCCCUUCCUCUCUUCAUUAGUGUUUGUAAUUUUUUAUGACUAUUAAGAAACAUCGCUUUAAUUUUGGAUCCUUCAUUAGUAAAAUGUUACUAAUUGAUAGAGUUGUUGAUU